AAACUUUCAACAACGGAUCUCUUGGCUCUGGCAUCGAUGAAGAACGCAGCGAAGUGCGAUAAGUAAUGUGAAUUGCAGAAUUCAGUGAAUCAUCGAAUCUUUGAACGCACAUUGCGCCCGCCAGUAUUCUGGCGGGCAUGCCUGUUCGAGCGUCAUUAC
Molecule: ribosomal RNA, 159 nt
Filed under: Fusarium solani
Lineage: Eukaryota; Fungi; Ascomycota; Sordariomycetes; Hypocreales; Nectriaceae
Description: 5.8S ribosomal RNA
Rfam family: 5.8S ribosomal RNA
About the family: 5.8S ribosomal RNA (5.8S rRNA) is a component of the large subunit of the eukaryotic ribosome.
Source: RNAcentral